UUCAAGUGAAGAGUUUGAUCCUGGCUCAGAUUGAACGCUGGCGGCGUGCCUAACACAUGCAAGUCGAGCGGUAACAGGUGUAGCAAUACAUGCUGACGAGCGGCGAACGGGUGAGUAAUGCUUCG
This 125-nucleotide ribosomal RNA is filed under the name Gammaproteobacteria bacterium. RNAcentral's name for it is "partial 16S ribosomal RNA". It matches the Rfam family "Bacterial small subunit ribosomal RNA", at positions 1 to 120 of the family's 1533-position model. The record is from RNAcentral. Lineage: Bacteria; Pseudomonadati; Pseudomonadota; Gammaproteobacteria.